GCCAGUAUAUAAGCUUGGGACCGCGUACAAUGAACUCUUCGUAGAAUCAGAGAACACGCUCGUAUCACGCAACCCUGCCGAGUAGCUAGGAAACCCCGAGAUAACGACAAGAUGAGACUGCUACUGUUUGUCUCUCUCUUGAUAGCGAUCCAGGUGUCGCUCGGUGCUGUCCGCCAAAACCAGCCACGGCUCCCACGACGCACCUGCUAUCGUUACUGCCCUACGAAUUAACUCGCUGUUCCGGAACUCUUUUGUACCAAGCUCGCAAGCUGAAGUUCGACCGACUGCACAAGGACGACGACACCUCGUUCAUUCACCUGCACUACUACCAGGACGAUCCUUACGGCUUGUGGUUUCUCUACGGAAUUUACGGCGGCGGCCCACGGCGGCGGCUACGGCGGCUACGGCGGCG
This is a long non-coding RNA of Priapulus caudatus, 412 nucleotides long. RefSeq lists it as uncharacterized. The record is from RefSeq and is a predicted model, not a curated record. The transcript is spliced from 3 exons. Lineage: Eukaryota; Metazoa; Priapulida; Priapulimorpha; Priapulimorphida; Priapulidae.